This is a long non-coding RNA of Panicum virgatum (switchgrass), 466 nucleotides long. RefSeq lists it as uncharacterized. Lineage: Eukaryota; Viridiplantae; Streptophyta; Magnoliopsida; Poales; Poaceae. The transcript has 2 exons. The record is from RefSeq and is a predicted model, not a curated record.
UUAUCCAUUUUGGGUGGACACGGAUGCGGGUCAUGAGGAAGAGGAAGAUGGAUGUGGGGGUCUGCGGGGGAGUUCUUGGUGCCGGAGGCGAUUAGGUGAAGGAGCUUCUAUGGCGAUGUUAUCAUGGUCAAGUGGAGGUAGGGGUGUCCAGGAGGGAGGACCCCGCAGUUCUCAUGGAAUCAGUUGCUGUCAUCUUGGAUCUGUUUGUUUGGAAUGAAUUGGUUUCGUAGUUUUUAGAUGAUGUACCUUUGCAAUCGAACAAUUGCAGUGAGGUAGCUCCCUUGGUGCAGCGAUGGUCGUCCAGGAGGCACGAUCCUGCAAUACGAAAGGUAUUAGUUUGAUUUUGUCUUGAAAUUGUUAGUUGGUUUCAAUGGGAUUUUUGCAGCUAAGAUAAUGUACGUUUGGAGUGGAUACUCUUGCAGUGCUAUUCAGUUCUUCAAUUUCCUGAUGUGUUGCCAUGGUUGAA